This 398-nucleotide ribosomal RNA is filed under the name uncultured Lactobacillus sp. RNAcentral describes it as "bacterial SSU rRNA". It matches the Rfam family "Bacterial small subunit ribosomal RNA", at positions 153 to 524 of the family's 1533-position model. Lineage: Bacteria; Bacillati; Bacillota; Bacilli; Lactobacillales; Lactobacillaceae. The record is from RNAcentral.
AAACAGAUGCUAAAUACCCGGGAUAACAACAGAUGAUGCCUAUCAACUGUUUAAAAAGAUGGGUUCUGCUAUCACUCUUGGGAUGGGACCCUGCGGUGCAUUAGCUAGUUGGUAGGGUAACGGGCCUACCAAGGCGAUGAUGCAUAGCCCGAGUUGAGAGACUGAUCGGGCCACAUUGGGGACUGAGACACGGGCCCAAAACUCCUACGGGGAGGCAGCAGUAGGGAAUCUUCCACAAUGGACGCAAGUCUGAUGGAGCAACGCCGCGUGAGUGAAGAAGGGUUUCGGCUACGUAAAGCUCUGUUGUUGGUGAAGAAGGACAGGGGUAGUAACUGACCUUUGUUUGACGGUAAUCAAUUAGAAGUCACGGCUAACUACGUGCCAGCAGCCGCGGUAAU